This 2772-nucleotide long non-coding RNA is filed under the name Selaginella moellendorffii. Its description in RNAcentral is "long non-coding RNA (SMOE_LNC002115)". The stretch from base 2146 to 2246 matches the Rfam family "MIR1094 microRNA precursor family". Lineage: Eukaryota; Viridiplantae; Streptophyta; Lycopodiopsida; Selaginellales; Selaginellaceae. The record is from RNAcentral.
UGUGGUCCAGAGAAGCACAUCGCACUGGAGGUGAUUUUCAUCACCUGCGGCUCCAUGUACUUCUUAAUACUGGAAACGAAAAAGGUACGAACUUUUCUUUUUUUCCCAGGUAUUGGAGGGACUGGCAGCCAAGAUUUGGAUGAUGCGCCGUGGAGAUGGCUGAAAAAAUUAUGUACUUUUUGUAGGAUUCCCAAAUUCUAGGUCCAGCUUGAUCGAGCGCUUCCCUGGGCUCAAAUGUUCAGCUAUGAAGAUCUAGCACAGGCCACCUGCUUGCCCGCGAAAUUUUUAUCCAAGCCACAAUUCAGCAAAUUUAAACGCUGGACUCAGUUUAGCUAGUUAAAUUGGAAGCGCACAGGUCCAAAGCUUCUUCAUUGUCCGACUGCUUCUGUUUCUUCGCUUUGCUCCGAUUCUGCCUUUCUGUUCUUGUGUGGAGGUUGUUUCUGUGACGGGUGAGAUGGUGGUGGUGGCAUGCUCUCUUUGGUUGCGGGUGCUGCCGCGAUGUUCCAGAAGCGCCAAUUAAAGGUGAAAUCCUUGGUGACGUUCAGGCGCUCUGGAAUGUUGAGCUUCGCUGAGUUCUUUGUCGGCUGUCUUCUCGCCAUAUUCUUGGAGGUAUGCCAGGUGAUAGUGAAACACGUUGGGGUGUUUGGAGGUAACCAGGAAUUCGCUGUUGAUCGCCAUGCUGUGAAUUCAGAACUUCGCGAUCGGCCAAACCAGGGAUUCACUUCCUCUCGGUUGAACAAUUCACAACACGCAAUGCAUAUGGCAGGGGCUCUUGUCAUUCGGCAAUAAUCUCUGGCCGGUGGGUCGUAGUGUUCAGCGCGAUCCCUUGACGUUCUCGGGCUCCUGGUCUCCGAGCGCAUGCCUACUCAAGCGUGGUUGUUCUUUGGCCAUGUCGCUGCGCGGUGGUGCUGCAUGCAUGGGUGCCGGGUGCCGGGUGGAGUCCAUUCUGUUGCGGCGUGUAAUGGCCAUGUUGACGAGCGCACUGUGGUUGGCAUUGUGAUUGGCGUGGAGCUGUGCAUGCCUGCUGAGUGGUCGUCUCUCUCAUACCUCUCAGCCCUGGGUCUUCCAACACUGGGGAUCUUGGGCUCGAUGUUGGUGUCGUGGCUGCGCCAGUACUGCUGCGUUGGCGUGCUUCUGAACUUUUUUGCCGACAAUGCCUUUGCUUGAGGACGUGUUCGUGACGAUCACUGGAGGCGUUAUUGGUUGAGUUAUGAUCCCUGCCUGGCAGCUGCCGUGACCGGGAGGACAACAACACAGGGUGCACGUCCAGACUUGGGUGUAGUGAACAUUGUGGAGGAGGAAAUUCAUGACUCAAUUCUGGGCCUUACUAUGUGUUGAGAAAGAUAAACGUGUCACAUGCAUGAAAGUCAGUUCCAAAAAAUACAGUGGUGCCAAGCAUAACAGGAUAUAAGACUUGGCAGGACAACAUGAUCAUCCAAACAUUUUGGUUGUGUGCAGAUGACAUUCAACAUUGUUGGGACCAAUUGGGCGAUCUUAAAGGGUUCAGUUGUGCUCCAUUACAAUGGCUAGUUGCUGAAAGUAUAUUGAUAACUUUGGCAGAGCCACACCAGCUCUAGAAGAAACUCCACUGGAGGAUCCAAUCCCAUCAAAACCUAUUCAGGUGCACCAAGAAAUAAUGGACAAAGAAAUCUUAACACCAACUCCAACAUCAACUGCUUCAGGUAAAUGAUCUUUGAAAAAAAUUAAUAUCUCUUUAACAUUUGCCUCUCCUGCUAGCGGGGUGGUCGGUGGAGCUAGGCUUCAACCUUUGGGACCUUCAUUUCUUGAGCUUGGGCUGAAACACUCCGUGAAUGUGGAAAAACUUACAGCUCGGGCAUGCCGUCCACAUUGGUGGUUUUGUUUUUGGGAGACCCCUCGAAUAUACGAGAAUAUUAGGUAUAUCCGUUAAAUUGUGAUCACCGUCCGUCUACAUCAUCCCAGCCGUCGAAGCUAGGUCCAAAGUUAGCUCGAGGGUCUAUUUUUAGUAUUUAGCUCUUACAAAAGCGCAGUGUAUCGCCUAGGGUUUUCUCCAGGGAGUAGGUUUUCAUUUGGGGGUUCGAUCGGCCCUAUCUUUUGCUCACUUGCGAUGAAUGGGUGUUGAGGGUCACUGUCUCUUCCUUGAGAUCCACAAGGAGAUGUCACAAUACGUCACAGUACUGUGGUCCAGAGAAGCACAUCGCACUGGAGGUGAUUUCCAUCACCUGUGGCUCCAUGUACUUCUCUGUUCCACAGUACUGGAAACGAAAAGGUACGUAUUGCUUUUUCUUUUUCUUUUUUUUUUCCAGGUAUUGGAGGGAGUGGCAGCCAAGAUUUGGAUGAUGCGUUAAGAAACUUCUCAUCCGUGAAGAUGAGCUAUCCAAGUUGUCCAGGUUUUUGUUUUGUGUCACAUUUGGAUUUGGAUUCCCAAAUUCCAGCUCCGGCUGGAUCGAGCGCUUGCCCAGGCUCAAAUCUAUGAAGAUCUAGCGAACGGGUAUCAUACCAGGCUUGGAUCGCUGGAUCAAAUUUCGGGAGCCCUUGGGCAAGCAGGCAUUCUGGUUUUAAUUUAUUUAAUAUAAAUACAAUUGCAUUGCCUUUGAAGAUGACCUAAACUUGAAAGCAAACGGGCAUUUAAAUUUGCUCCACAUUUUUAUGGAAAUGAAUUGUACUUAGUGAUAGCGAGAUGAUUGCCUCCCACCGUCACCACUGCCACCAUCCUCACCACCACCACCACAGGAGACGGGGACAGGGACAAAGAAUGGCAAAGAAUAGCACAAUCAUAUAACUUGAAUUGGG